UGCCAGACUCCUACGGGAGGCAGCAGUAGGGAAUCUUCGGCAAUGGGCGAAAGCCUGACCGAGCAACGCCGCGUGAAUGAAGAAGGCCUUCGGGUUGUAAAAUUCUGUUAUAAGGGAAGAAAGGUGAUAGGAGGAAAUGACUAUCAAUUGACGGUACCUUAUGAGAAAGCCACGGCUAACUACGUGCCAGCAGCCGCGGUAAUACGUAGGGGGCGAGCGUUAUCCGGAUUCACUGGGUGUAAAGGGAGCGUAGACGGCCAAGCAAGCCAGGGGUGAAAGCCCGGGGCCCAACCCCGGGACUGCCCUUGGAACUGCUUGGCUGGAGUGCGGGAGGGGCAGGCGGAAUUCCUGGUGUAGCGGUGAAAUGCGUAGAUAUCAGGAGGAACACCGGCGGCGAAGACGGCCUGCUGGACCGCUACUGACGUUGAGGCUCGAAAGCGUGGGGAGCGAACAGGAUUAGAUACCCGAGUACCA
RNAcentral lists this ribosomal RNA (474 nucleotides) under uncultured bacterium. RNAcentral's name for it is "partial 16S ribosomal RNA". It matches the Rfam family "Bacterial small subunit ribosomal RNA", at positions 329 to 797 of the family's 1533-position model. The record is from RNAcentral.